RNAcentral lists this ribosomal RNA (273 nucleotides) under uncultured bacterium. RNAcentral describes it as "partial 16S ribosomal RNA". It matches the Rfam family "Bacterial small subunit ribosomal RNA", at positions 524 to 796 of the family's 1533-position model. The record is from RNAcentral.
GACGUAGGUGGCGAGCGUUGUCCGGAUUUACUGGGCGUAAAGAGCGCGCAGGCGGUCGUGCAAGUCGCGUGUGAAAGCCCCCGGCUCAACUGGGGAGGGUCACGCGAUACUGUUCGACUCGAAGGCAGGAGAGGGAAGUGGAAUUCCCGGUGUAGUGGUGAAAUGCGUAGAUAUCGGGAGGAACACCAGUGGCGAAGGCGACUUCCUGGCCUGUUCUUGACGCUGAGGCGCGAAAGCUAGGGUAGCAAACGGGAUUAGAUACCCCCGUAGUCC